GGGAUUGCAGUGGCAAAGCUAGGCUAGGUCUUGGAGGCUGGUGUAAGGCGAAGCGGGUGAAGGCAGGAGGCUGAUGGAGAGACUGGGGGGAAGAAAAGCCGAAAUGGAUUCACGGUGCCUUGGAUGGAGGACGAGAGGGGAAUUGCAAGCUCCUUCAACUCGUUCUGUCCGGUGAGAAGUGAUCAAGCUUGGGCUGACAAGAGGCUCAGGAAGCCCUCACGUUCUUUCGCUUUUUUACCUGCCAAUCAAACCGCUACAAGACAACACCCUGAUCUGGCAUGGACAUCGCGGGUCCAAGCCUGUAGUCACAAAUCGGAUAUCUCUGCAGCUGAUAACAAGCAAAAGAGAAGCCAGGCAACAGCCAUAUUAAAGAAGAAAACAAUCAACUCUGAGGAUGCCACCCUGAAAGUUUUAUUUUCUCCAGGAAAGUAGAGUUCUCUUUGAGAGUUCUAGCCUGUGAACUCAGUAUGUAAAUGUGGUCAUCAAGCAAGACGGAGCCGCCAAGAGGGAAGAUUUUGAAGGUUUCUCUUUCCUAAAACCCUUCCCAGCAUUCCUUCUUGGGGGGGGGGUGCUUUCCUCGAAGUUCUCCCCUUUCCCCAGCCCUGUUGACUGUGGUCCCCGAGCAACACGGCAGUAGCUAAACAAGCUGUACUGUGAAGCUGUUGAGCUGGUAUUUCAUCUGAAUCCUUUGUAAAAAUUAGAUUUUAAGUAGGGGUGAGUGUCCUUUUGGGAGAGGGGACAAGGGUGAGGGGAAGAAGAGGGGGAGGGGAUGAGCAGUUUAUAUACAUAUAUACUCUUUGUGUUUGAAGGCCUCUGUGUCUUGGCUUCUCACUAUGUUAAAUCCCUAUUAUAAAACUUAUCUUCCCAAAGCCUAUUAUAGUAUUCUGAGAACAAAUUGGACCAUGAAUAACUUAGUUGGAAGUGUAGAUUAUUUUCUACUCAGGGAAAGUUAGAGAUGACAACAGCUUAACUAAAAGAGUAGUGAUUAAUCUUAAAUAGAUGGAUUUCAAAGUUUCACUCUUGAUAGAGAGUACCUUUGAUAUUUCCCCUCUUCAGACUCAUGUUUCCACUUCCUUUGUAUUAAGAAUUGUCCUAGUGAUUACACUGUCCACCUAAUACAGCAUGACUCUGACUAUAGAUCUUUUUCUUACAGGUUGUUAAUCUGUCAGAGAGGUGAGCAGAAAGACACUUUACUUCCUAAUGAUUAAAUAUAUGGUCCCAAAGUGGUACCUGUGCUUAGACAUCAAACUCUCUGGGAGAAAUAAUAUCUGGCAUAAAUCAAAAUUUCUCAAUUAGAUAAAAAUUAUUAUUUAAAAACACCUUCAAUUUGUUUAGUGCCCUACAGUUUACAGAACACUUCUCAAUUCAUGAUUUUGUUCGAUCCUUAGAAGACUGUUAUGAUAUCAACAAAUAGCAUUAAUCUCAUUUUACCAAAGGAGGAAGCUGAGUCGCUUGCACGCUGUGAUCCAGCUGAUAAAUGGAAGAACUGCGGUACCAACUCAGAUUUUAUGGCUUCUGUUUUAAGUGACUAACCUGUAGCAAUAGGCAUCUAAAUUCCUUUUGUGUUCUACAUGCCCGAAAAUCAAGAUUUUGCAUUAAGGAGCAAAGUUUUUAUAUCUCGCAGAUACAGAAGUCAAAAGACCUGAUGGAAAAAAAUUCUAUUCACUUAAAAGUCAAUGUCAUGAAUCAGUGUUUUCCCUUAUGUGUACAUGCACAUGUGUGUGUGUGUGUCAAUAGUCUUUCAGAGGUGAAAGUCUUAAUUUCUAAAAGCCAAACAUGGGCAGCCCUAUAUAAAUUAAUAACUGCCUGGAAUUUUUUAAAUGUCCUUGAAAACCAUUAAUUGUUUCAAAAUAGAAUGUAACCACAUAUAAGCCUUUAGAAGGCUGUUUGGCCUACAAAGUGCUCGAGAGCAUGGCAUCGAUCAAGUUCUAGAGUGUUAUAAGUGAGGUUUCCCUUUUCUUCAGCUUUUUUGAGAUAAAACUGACAAAAUUGGAAGAUAUUUAAAGUAUAUAUCUUGAUGAUUAGAUAAACAUAAACAUCUCGAAAGUAUUCCUCCUGUCUGCUUAGUUAACACAUCGGUCACUUCACGUUUGUCUUUUUUUUUUUUUUUUUUUUGCUGAGAACAUUUAAGUUUUAUUCUCUCUCUCUCUUUUUUAAAGAUUUUAUUUAUUUAUGUGUCAGAGAGAGAGAGCACAAGCAGGGGGAGUGGGAGGCAGAGGGAGAGGGAGAGGGAGAAGCAGGCUCCCCACCGAGCAAGGAACCUGAUGUGGGACUUGAUUCCAGGAUCCUGGGAUCAUGACCUGAGCCAAAGGCAGAUGUUUAACCUUAACUGACUGAGCCACCCAGGCGUCUCUAAGUUUUGCUCUCUUAACAAAUUUCAAUUAUUCAUUAAUGUGUUACCAAUUAUAGUCACUACGUUAACCAUGAGAUCCUCAGACCGUAUGCAUCUGGUAGCUGAAAAUUUCUACCCUUUUACCAACCUCUUCCUAAUUCCCUUACUCCCCAGCCUCUGCCCUUCUAGUUUUAUAGACCCGUAUCUUUUAACAUCUUAGCAAGUUGGAUAAACAAAACUGUAUAGGACUUCUUUUGUUUCUCUUUAGUUAUUACUCUUCGUAUUAAAAAAAAAGUUUGCAAAAUACUCUAGAAAUAAUAAAGAAGAUGUUUAGUUAACUUGCUAUUGAUGUAAUCUAUCUAAACAAACAGAAAUCAACAAAUACAAAAGGAUACUGCCAUGUGAUUCUUCUUAGGUUUUUAUUUAUUUAUUUAUUUGACAGAGAUAGAGACAGCCAGCGAGAGAGGGAACACAAGCAGGGGGAGUGGGAGAGGAAGAAGCAGGCUCAUAGCGGAGGAGCCUGAGGUGGGGCUCGAUCCCAUAACGCCAGGAUCACGCCCUGAGCCCAAGGCAGACGCUUAACCGCUAUACCACCCAGGCGCCCCUCUUCUUAGGUUUUUAAUUACAUUGUUUUAAUCAUGUAAUGAAGGCAGUGUGGAUGUUAAUACGGAAAUUAUUUGUUUAUUUCUUGAAUUGUAUGCACUUAAAUUAGUCAUUUUAUAUAUACUUAAAUAAGGUUUUUGUCCUUAAAUUAUGCUGGCAGCCAGACAAAUCCAGACAAGCUUUUUGGGAUUAGAUAACAUGAAAAAGUAUCCAGAAAAGGAAAAGCAACUGUUCUAAAUAGAUGUUGCGUUUUCCAGUUUGUAUCAAUAAUGACAUAUGUGAUAACCUGUCUUGUGCUAAGGUUUGUCAAUUAAAACGUGACAUAUAGACCCAAGAUUACCCGUUUGACUUGGAGGUAGAUGCUCAAACCCCCAAAGUCAAACUUCUGUCUUCUCUACUAAUAUGCAAAUUAAUAAAUGACAAAAUAAGGACUCGCACGUUAGCACUAAUGUGUUUGUUUAGAUGCCUUUUGCAGUUUUUAAGUUUCUUAUUUUAUUACCAGUUUCAUUUAGUUUGUUCAUGUGUGUCUUCCACAUCUAUCACUGUCCUAACAGGCUUCCUUCCUCCUACUUCUCCACCCCUCCUUCCUCCCUCCCUCCUUUCCUUCUUGUCUUCUUUUCUCUCUCCUCCCUCCUUUCCUCUUUUCCUUCCUUCCCCCUCCUUGUGUAACUCCUCGGUGUUUGGGUAAUUUUGUUUUAAAAUGUACAGCAGCUUGGGCCUUAAGGGGCUUAUCUAAUGCAGUCCGAUGCCAAACUGAUAACUCUGCACAGGAAACAUUGACUUCAGUUAAACUUACAACAAGUCGGAGAAUCCUGAAGUUUAAUAUCAAUAGUUCUCUGACAACCAAAAUUCAAUGCUGAAGCAUCAACUUUUAAUGUCAUGGAUUCUGGCAAUUUUCCUCUGGUGUUGUCUUGAUGUAGUCUUUCUAAGUCAUUUAAGCUAUCAGGU
This is a long non-coding RNA of Ursus thibetanus thibetanus, 3883 nucleotides long. The record is from Ensembl. Lineage: Eukaryota; Metazoa; Chordata; Mammalia; Carnivora; Ursidae.